Molecule: ribosomal RNA, 468 nt
Filed under: uncultured bacterium
Lineage: Bacteria
Description: partial 16S ribosomal RNA
Rfam family: Bacterial small subunit ribosomal RNA
Source: RNAcentral
GACGAACGCUGGCGGCGUGCUUAACACAUGCAAGUCGAACGGAAAGGCCCUGCUUUUGUGGGGUGCUCGAGUGGCGAACGGGUGAGUAACACGUGAGUAACCUGCUCUUGACUUUGGGAUAACUUCAGGAAACUGGGGUUAAUACCGGAUAGGAUCUCCUGCUGCAUGGUGGGGGUUGGAAAGUUUCGGCGGUUGGGGAUGGACUCGCGGCUUAUGAGCUUGUUGGUGGGGUAGUGGCUUACCAAGGCUUUGACGGGUAGCCGGCCUGAGAGGGUGACCGGCCACAUUGGGACUGAGAUACGGCCCAGACUCCUACGGGAGGCAGCAGUGGGGAAUAUUGCACAAUGGGCGGAAGCCUGAUGCAGCAACGCCGCGUGCGGGAUGACGGCCUUCGGGUUGUAAACCGCUUUCGCCUGUGACGAAGCGUGAGUGACGGUAAUGGGUAAAGAAGCACCGGCUAACUACGUG